This 450-nucleotide ribosomal RNA is filed under the name uncultured bacterium. RNAcentral describes it as "bacterial SSU rRNA". It matches the Rfam family "Bacterial small subunit ribosomal RNA", at positions 29 to 524 of the family's 1533-position model. The record is from RNAcentral.
AACGAACGCUGGCGGCAUGCCUAACACAUGCAAGUCGAACGAAGCCUUCGGGCUUAGUGGCGCACGGGUGCGUAACGCGUGGGAAUCUGCCCUUGGGUUCGGAAUAACAGUUAGAAAUGACUGCUAAUACCGAAUGAUGUCUUCGGACCAAAGAUUUAUCGCCCAAGGAUGAGCCCGCGUCGGAUUAGCUAGUUGGUGAGGUAAAGGCUCACCAAGGCGACGAUCCGUAGCUGGUCUGAGAGGAUGAUCAGCCACACUGGGACUGAGACACGGCCCAGACUCCUACGGGAGGCAGCAGUGGGGAAUAUUGGACAAUGGGCGAAAGCCUGAUCCAGCAAUGCCGCGUGAGUGAUGAAGGCCUUAGGGUUGUAAAGCUCUUCUACCCGGGAUGAUAAUGACAGUACCGGGAGAAUAAGCCCCGGCUAACUCCGUGCCAGCAGCCGCGGUAAU